AUUGAACGCUGGCGGCAGGCUUAACACAUGCAAGUCGAGCGGGGUGAUGGUGCUUGCACUAUCACUUAGCGGCGGACGGGUGAGUAAUGCUUAGGAAUCUGCCUAUUAGUGGGGGACAACAUCUCGAAAGGGAUGCUAAUACCGCAUACGUCCUACGGGAGAAAGCAGGGGAUCACUUGUGACCUUGCGCUAAUAGAUGAGCCUAAGUCGGAUUAGCUAGUUGGUGGGGUAAAGGCCUACCAAGGCGACGAUCUGUAGCGGGUCUGAGAGGAUGAUCCGCCACACUGGGACUGAGACACGGCCCAGAGUCCUACGGGAGGCAGCAGUGGGGAAUAUUGGACAAUGGGGGGAACCCUGGUCCAGCCAUGCCGCGUGUGUGAAGAAGGCCUUAUGGUUGUAAAGCACUUUAAGCGAGGAGGAGGCUCUUUUGGUUAAUACCCAAGAUGAGUGGACGUUACUCGCAGAAUAAGCACCGGCUAACUCUGUGCCAGCCGCCGCGGUAA
This 503-nucleotide ribosomal RNA is filed under the name uncultured bacterium. RNAcentral describes it as "partial 16S ribosomal RNA". It matches the Rfam family "Bacterial small subunit ribosomal RNA", at positions 30 to 523 of the family's 1533-position model. The record is from RNAcentral.